AUUUGUCCUGACAUUGUUACACACCYGAUCACAUCCGAUUUUGGAAGCCAAGCAGAGUCUCAUUUGGCYAGCGCUGUUGAAAAUGCUGUAGACUUUGGGGAGGAUCAGUA
This 110-nucleotide ribosomal RNA is filed under the name Nothoprocta perdicaria. Lineage: Eukaryota; Metazoa; Chordata; Aves; Tinamiformes; Tinamidae. The record is from RNAcentral.